Molecule: ribosomal RNA, 265 nt
Filed under: uncultured bacterium
Lineage: Bacteria
Description: partial 16S ribosomal RNA
Rfam family: Bacterial small subunit ribosomal RNA
Source: RNAcentral
GUCCACGCCCUAAACGAUGCGAACUGGACGUUGGGAGCAAUUAGGCUCUCAGUGUCGAAGCUAACGCGUUAAGUUCGCCGCCUGGGGAGUACGGUCGCAAGACUGAAACUCAAAGGAAUUGACGGGGGCCCCGCACAAGCGGUGGAGUAUGUGGUUUAAUUCGAUGCAACGCGCAGAACCUUACCUGGCCUUGACAUCCACGGAAUCCUUGAGAGAUCAGGGAGUGCCUUCGGGAACCGUGAGACAGGUGCUGCAUGGCUGUCGU